GAAAUGCGAUAAGUAAUGUGAAUUGCAGAAUUCAGUGAAUCAUCGAAUCUUUGAACGCACAUUGCGCCCGCCAGCAUUCUGGCGGGCAUGCCUGUUCGAGCGUCAUUUCAACCCUCGAGCUCCCCUUGGGGAGCCCGGCGUUGGGGACCGGCCUCUACCGCCGGCCCCGAAAUGAAGUGGCGGCCCGUCCGCGGCGACCUCUGCGUAGUAACUCACCUCGCACCGGAACCCCGACGUGGCCACGCCGUAAAACACCCAACUUUCUGAACGUUGACCUCGAAUCAGGUAGGAAUACCCGCUGAACUUAAGC
RNAcentral lists this unclassified non-coding RNA (310 nucleotides) under plant metagenome. RNAcentral's name for it is "partial contains 5.8S ribosomal RNA, internal transcribed spacer 2, and large subunit ribosomal RNA". The stretch from base 1 to 105 matches the Rfam family "5.8S ribosomal RNA", at positions 50 to 154 of the family's 154-position model. The record is from RNAcentral.